Molecule: ribosomal RNA, 433 nt
Filed under: uncultured bacterium
Lineage: Bacteria
Description: partial 16S ribosomal RNA
Rfam family: Bacterial small subunit ribosomal RNA
Source: RNAcentral
AGCGAACGCUGGCGGCAGGCCUAACACAUGCAAGUCGAACGAACUCUUCGGAGUUAGUGGCGGACGGGUGAGUAACACGUGGGAACGUGCCGUUAGGUUCGGAAUAACUCAGGUAAACUUGUGCUAAUACCGAAUGUGCCCUGCGGGGGAAAGAUUUAUCGCCUUUAGAGCGGCCCGCGUCUGUUUAGCUAGUUGGUGAGGUAAAGGCUCACCAAGGCGACGAUCAGUAGCUGGUCUGAGAGGAUGAUCAGCCACAUUGGGACUGAGACACGGCCCAAACUCCUACGGGAGGCAGCAGUGGGGAAUCUUGCGCAAUGGGCGAAAGCCUGAAGCAGCCAUGCCGCGUGAAUGAUGAAGGUCUUAGGAUUGUAAAAUUCUUUCACCGGGGACGAUAAUGACGGUACCCGGAGAAGAAGCCCCGGCUAACUUCGUG